UACGUAGGGACCGAGCGUUGUCCGGAAUCAUUGGGCGUAAAGAGCGUGUAGGCGGCUAUUUAAGUCCUGCGUGAAAUCCUGCGGCUCAACCGCAGACGGUCGUGGGAAACUGGGUGGCUAGAGUGCGGGAGAGGAGAGUGGAAUUCCUGGUGUAGCGGUGGAAUGCGCAGAUAUCGGGAGGAACACCGGUGGCGAAGGCGGUUCUCUGGGCCUGUACUGACGCUGAGGAGCGAAAGCGUGGGGAGCAAACAGG
This 253-nucleotide ribosomal RNA is filed under the name uncultured bacterium. RNAcentral describes it as "partial 16S ribosomal RNA". It matches the Rfam family "Bacterial small subunit ribosomal RNA", at positions 524 to 776 of the family's 1533-position model. The record is from RNAcentral.